This 454-nucleotide ribosomal RNA is filed under the name uncultured bacterium. RNAcentral describes it as "partial 16S ribosomal RNA". It matches the Rfam family "Bacterial small subunit ribosomal RNA", at positions 355 to 801 of the family's 1533-position model. The record is from RNAcentral.
UGGGGAAUUUUGGACAAUGGGCGAAAGCCUGAUCCAGCAAUGCCGCGUGUGUGAAGAAGGCCUUCGGGUUGUAAAGCACUUUUGUCCGGAAAGAAAUCCUUGGCUCUAAUACAGUCGGGGGAUGACGGUACCGGAAGAAUAAGCACCGGCUAACUACGUGCCAGCAGCCGCGGUAAUACGUAGGGUGCAAGCGUUAAUCGGAAUUACUGGGCGUAAAGCGUGCGCAGGCGGUUUGCUAAGACCGAUGUGAAAUCCCCGGGCUCAACCUGGGAACUGCAUUGGUGACUGGCAGGCUAGAGUAUGGCAGAGGGGGGUAGAAUUCCACGUGUAGCAGUGAAAUGCGUAGAGAUGUGGAGGAAUACCGAUGGCGAAGGCAGCCCCCUGGGCCAAUACUGACGCUCAUGCACGAAAGCAUGGGGAGCAAACAGGAUUAGAUACCCUGGUAGUCCACGCU